ACUCCUACGGGAGGCAGCAGUGGGGAAUAUUGCACAAUGGGGGAAACCCUGAUGCAGCCAUGCCGCGUGUGUGAAGAAGGCCUUCGGGUUGUAAAGCACUUUCAGCGAGGAGGAAAGGUGGUUGGCUAAUACCCAAUCGCUGUGACGUAC
This 150-nucleotide ribosomal RNA is filed under the name uncultured bacterium. RNAcentral's name for it is "partial 16S ribosomal RNA". It matches the Rfam family "Bacterial small subunit ribosomal RNA", at positions 335 to 482 of the family's 1533-position model. The record is from RNAcentral.